AACGCGAAGAACCUUACCUACCCUUGACAUCCUUCGAAUCUCACAGAGAUGUGGGAGUGCCGAAAGGAGCGAAGAGACAGGUGCUGCAUGGCUGUCGUCAGCUCGUGUCGUGAGAUGUUGGGUUAAGUCCCGUAACGAGCGCAACCCUUGUCCUUAGUUGCCAUCAUUAAGUUGGGAACUCUAAGGAGACUGCCGGUGAUAAACCGGAGGAAGGUGGGGAUGAGGUCAAGUCAUCAUGGCCUUUAUGGGUAGGGCUACACACGUGCUACAAUGGUCGGUACAAAGGGAAGCGAAGCUGUGAGGUGGAGCGAAACUCAAAAAACCGAUCUUAGUCCGGAUUGGAGUCUGCAACUCGACUCCAUGAAGCUGGAAUCGCUAGUAAUCGCGGAUCAGAACGCCGCGGUGAAUACGUUCCCGGGCCUUGUACACACCGACAUA
This 438-nucleotide ribosomal RNA is filed under the name uncultured bacterium. Its description in RNAcentral is "bacterial SSU rRNA". It matches the Rfam family "Bacterial small subunit ribosomal RNA", at positions 958 to 1397 of the family's 1533-position model. The record is from RNAcentral.